UACGGAGGGGGCGAGCGUUAUUCGGAAUUAUUGGGCGUAAAGGGCUCGUAGGCGGCCAACUAAGUCAGACGUGAAAUCCCUCAGCUUAACUGGGGAACUGCGUCUGAUACUGGAUGGCUUGGAUUCGGGAGAGGAAUGCGGAAUUCCAGGUGUAGCGGUGAAAUGCGUAGAUAUCUGGAGGAACACCGGUGGCGAAGGCGGCAUUCUGGACCGAUAUUGACGCUGAGGAGCGAAAGCCAGGGGAGCAAACGGG
This 253-nucleotide ribosomal RNA is filed under the name uncultured bacterium. Its description in RNAcentral is "partial 16S ribosomal RNA". It matches the Rfam family "Bacterial small subunit ribosomal RNA", at positions 524 to 776 of the family's 1533-position model. The record is from RNAcentral.